CAGCAGCCGCGGUAAUACGUAGGGUGCGAGCGUUAAUCGGAAUUACUGGGCGUAAAGCGUGCGCAGGCGGUUAUGUAAGACAGAUGUGAAAUCCCCGGGCUCAACCUGGGAACUGCAUUUGUGACUGCAUGGCUAGAGUACGGUAGAGGGGGAUGGAAUUCCGCGUGUAGCAGUGAAAUGCGUAGAUAUGCGGAGGAACACCGAUGGCGAAGGCAAUCCCCUG
RNAcentral lists this ribosomal RNA (223 nucleotides) under uncultured Burkholderia sp. RNAcentral describes it as "partial 16S ribosomal RNA". It matches the Rfam family "Bacterial small subunit ribosomal RNA", at positions 509 to 731 of the family's 1533-position model. The record is from RNAcentral. Lineage: Bacteria; Pseudomonadati; Pseudomonadota; Betaproteobacteria; Burkholderiales; Burkholderiaceae.